CUGCGGCUGGGUUACAUCUGCUCUGUACGUCCAGGGAGAGUGUGACUUCCACUGGUUUCCCAGCACAAGGUCUAUUAGAUGAGACUUCACAACACAACUAGCUGGACAAUAUUUAUAUCAUAUUCUUCAGUGUAUAAUGAGAAGGUACCUACCCAGUGCCACUCGUGCAGCAGAAGCAUCAUAAUUGAUCCAGAAGGACACCCAGGACAGAAUGGUGAUGAGGAUAGAUGGCAUGUAAGUCUGCAGGAUGAAGUAACCAAUGUUCCUCUUAAUUCGGAAGCUCAAAGAUAAGCGCAGAUUUUACAGCCUCAUCAGAGAAGAGGAUUUCUUUAGAGUCUGCUCAAUUGGCUAGGAAUAUUGGGAAAAAAAGGAGCUCUAUGCAAGUUACAGUUUUGUAUCAGACAUCAUGGGAGAACGUCUGUUCAGUCCUCUGUUGAAACUGCCUUUAUGGUAUGUGCCAGUAAGAUUUGGGCUUGCGUGGGAGACUUCAACCCUAUACCUGGAUGCAGUAUGAGAGGAGCAUUGUUUCAAAGUUGUGUGGAUGUGGAAACAAACAAAAUGGAACCCUGCAGAUUUCCAGUGUGCAUGAGUGUGAGAGACAAAGGCUUUUAGCAAGGAAACCACGACUGUCUUCAUCUCGGCGUGGGUCUUAGAAAUACUGUAAGGAAACGUAACUUCAACUAACAAAUUGGCUUGACAUGUCCCAUUAAGAACAAAAUCGCAACAUGGGGAACUGUGGGUAAUUCUCUGCCUUCUGUUUUCUUGGUUGUACUGUAAACUAUUCUCAAAAUACGAAGGAGUGCCAAAAAUGACAUGCCAUUAGUGCAUCCAGGAGGACCUCAUUUACAUCCCAUUACCCGCCACGCCAAGAGCUGCUAUCGCUGCACAUUCCGAGUGGGACCAGGGCUGCCUGGCAGAGGAGAGGCUGGGGAGGCAGCGCCGUGCCUGCCGACUGCUGAUGCCAUGGGACCUCUUUUAUGAAAAAAGCAAUUCUCUGAUAAUCACCACUGAAGCUGCAUCAUCAUUACUGUGAGAUCUGCUGCUCUGGACCGCUCCUGUGGGGAUACUGCAGUGCAUUUUUAUGAGGGAGUGCCGGACCUCCCUUGGCCAGAAUGAUCAGGAAGGCUUUUCAUGGGAGUCCAAGGAAAAUCCAGGUGGGGAGGAGAUGUGGGCUCUGCUCCCACCUCCUGCAAAAAACAGGCUUAGCCAACACUGAGGGCACCUUCCCAGGGCUAUCUGAGGGCUGAGAUAGCCUUCUCCAUCCUCCCAAAAGUGAGAGUAAUUUUAUGUGCCUAGCCUGCUGCCGGGGCUCCAUUUUCCUGAGCAUUUUACCCUGGGGAUGGAGUUUGGAUGAGGGAGCCCAGUCCUGCCCAAAGGGGCAUCCUUGGGAAUGGGUGGCCUUAAAAGCCCUGGGAGGCAGCCCAGGGGUGGGAGGGGUGGCUUGUUUGGGUCAGCAUUGCAUGGCAUACGCACAGCUCUCAAUCUCCAACGUGCAGUUCUGCUGGUCCAGGGGGUACCUCCGUAGGUCCAUCAUGCAGGCAGCCGUGGUGGUGAUCCUGAAAGAAGAUGAGAGAAAGAAAAAAUUACAAUAAUGAUUAUUUUUUAAAAGGAGAAAUGAAAGGCAGAUGUGAAAGUCGGGCAGCAUUUGGGGCCGCUGUUUCCCUGGAAACCAGAGAGAGCCACGGUGGGAGGGCAGAGGGAGGUGUGCGGGGGGCUGGAUGCAGCUCACCCUCAACUGCAUGGCUUACACCCUCCGUGACUAACGUCAGCAAGGCAGCAUCUCUAUUAGCAGGGUGGGGAGGGAUUGGUGUUCCUCCCCUGUCUCUCCAGGAGAAAGACAAAGAAACUGGGAGUAGGCAGAGCUAUGAGAGGAGAGAGAUGUCAGAUUGUGAAAGAGAGGCUGAGGGCAAGUGUCCAUAGAACAGAAAAGCAUUGAUCAUAUUGUCCUGCAGUGGCCUCUUCCUUCCCAAAUUGCCCCAAGAACCGCACUGCAGCCCCCACCCAUCGGUGCCCCUCCAUCACACUCACUGCCCUCCUGCUCCUGCACUGUGUGCUGGUGACUCCACUAACAGAUUCACUCCUGUGCAAGUGAUUCCAUGGUCAAGAUUCACCUGACAUGUGUGUACAUGUGUGCAUCCCCUAGGAAAAUAAAUUUAGGGAGAGAAAAUGGGCAGGGGUUGUUUUUGGGGUGUCAGUGCCACGCAGUACCUAUGGAAGGUUUUCAUGUGUGUGGGUGCAUCUGUGUUACACGGUGCACACAAAGGAGCAUUGCUUUCAGGGUUGGGGCAUUUUGCAGUGGGGCAGGUCAGGUGCAGGCACAAAGCAGGGAGAGAGCAAUUCAGCUGCUAACUGCCAGCCCAGAAUUUAGCAGGCUGCCCCCAUUUCUCAAAUUUAUUGCUCCCCUCACCCGUUAAUGCAGUUGU
This is a long non-coding RNA of Lagopus leucura (white-tailed ptarmigan), 2423 nucleotides long. RefSeq lists it as uncharacterized. The record is from RefSeq and is a predicted model, not a curated record. Lineage: Eukaryota; Metazoa; Chordata; Aves; Galliformes; Phasianidae. The transcript has 4 exons.